Molecule: ribosomal RNA, 254 nt
Filed under: uncultured bacterium
Lineage: Bacteria
Description: partial 16S ribosomal RNA
Rfam family: Bacterial small subunit ribosomal RNA
Source: RNAcentral
UACAUGGGGUGCAAACGUUGCUCGGAAUUAUUGGGCGUAAAGCGCACGUAGGCGGUUCGUUAAGUCGGAUGUGAAAGCCCUCGGCUCAACUGAGGAAGUGCACCCGAAACUGGCGAGCUUGAGUACGAAAGAGGAUCGCGGAAUUCCCGGUGUAGAGGUGAAAUUCGUAGAUAUCGGGAGGAACACCGGGUGGCGAAGGCGGCGAUCUGGGUCGAUACUGACGCUGAGGUGCGAAAGCGUGGGGAGCAAACAGG